RNAcentral lists this ribosomal RNA (383 nucleotides) under uncultured eukaryote. RNAcentral describes it as "partial 18S ribosomal RNA". It matches the Rfam family "Eukaryotic small subunit ribosomal RNA", at positions 592 to 976 of the family's 1831-position model. The record is from RNAcentral.
CAAUAGCGUAUAUUGAAGUUGUUGCAGUUAAAAAGCUCGUAGUUGGAUUUCUGGUAGGAGCGACCGUGCCGAACUUGAUUGUUCGAGUAUUGUGUUGUCUUCAGCCAUCCUCGUGGAGAACUUUUCUAACAUUAACUUGUUGGGAUUGGGACCCGCGUCGUUUACCGUGAAAAAAUUAGAGUGUUUAAAGCAGGCAUUAGCUUGAAUACAUUAGCAUGGAAUAAUAAGAUAGGACUUUGGUACUAUUUUGUUGGUUUGCAUACCAAAUUAAUGAUCAACAGGAACAGUUUGAGGAUAUUCGUAUGAACAUGUCAGAGGUGAAAUUCUUGGAUUUUGAUCAGACGAACUACUGCGAAAGCAUUUAUCAAGGAUGUUUUCAUUAA